Molecule: ribosomal RNA, 355 nt
Filed under: Staphylococcus aureus
Lineage: Bacteria; Bacillati; Bacillota; Bacilli; Caryophanales; Staphylococcaceae
Description: bacterial SSU rRNA
Rfam family: Bacterial small subunit ribosomal RNA
Source: RNAcentral
UGUUAGCGGCGGACGGGUGAGUAACACGUGGAUAACCUACCUAUAAGACUGGGAUAACUUCGGGAAACCGGAGCUAAUACCGGAUAAUAUUUUGAACCGCAUGGUUCAAAAGUGAAAGACGGUCUUGCUGUCACUUAUAGAUGGAUCCGCGCUGCAUUAGCUAGUUGGUAAGGUAACGGCUUACCAAGGCAACGAUGCAUAGCCGACCUGAGAGGGUGAUCGGCCACACUGGAACUGAGACACGGUCCAGACUCCUACGGGAGGCAGCAGUAGGGAAUCUUCCGCAAUGGGCGAAAGCCUGACGGAGCAACGCCGCGUGAGUGAUGAAGGUCUUCGGAUCGUAAAACUCUGUUAU